This 843-nucleotide ribosomal RNA is filed under the name Arcuatospora sinensis. RNAcentral's name for it is "partial large subunit ribosomal RNA". It matches the Rfam family "Eukaryotic large subunit ribosomal RNA", at positions 65 to 943 of the family's 3401-position model. The record is from RNAcentral. Lineage: Eukaryota; Fungi; Ascomycota; Sordariomycetes; Chaetosphaeriales; Chaetosphaeriaceae.
CCAACAGGGAUUGCCUCAGUAACGGCGAGUGAAGCGGCAACAGCUCAAAUUUGAAAUCUGGCCUAGCCCGAGUUGUAAUUUGCAGAGGAUGCUUCUGGUGCGGCGCUGUCCAAGUCCCCUGGAACGGGGCGCCACAGAGGGUGAGAGCCCCGUCUGGUCAGCCGCCAAGCCUGUGUGAAGCUCCUUCGACGAGUCGAGUAGUUUGGGAAUGCUGCUCUAAACGGGAGGUAGACCCCUUCUAAAGCUAAAUAUUGGCCAGAGACCGAUAGCGCACAAGUAGAGUGAUCGAAAGAUGAAAAGCACUUUGAAAAGAGGGUUAAACAGUACGUGAAAUUGUUAAAAGGGAAGCGCUUGUGACCAGACGUGCGCCGGGCGUUCAGCGGGCGUUCUCGCCCGUGCACUCGUCCCGGCGCAGGCCAGCGUCGGUUCGGACGGGGGGACAAAGGCGUCGGGAACGUAGCUCCUCCGGGAGUGUUAUAGCCCGACGUGCCAUGCCCCCGACCGGACCGAGGUUCGCGCUCUGCAAGGACGCUGGCAUAAUGGUCCCCAGCGGCCCGUCUUGAAACACGGACCAAGGAGUCGAGGUUUUGUGCGAGUGUUUGGGUGUCAAACCCGCACGCGUAAUGAAAGUGAACGUAGGUGGGAGCUUCGGCGCACCACCGACCGAUCCUGAUGUUCUCGGAUGGAUUUGAGUAGGAGCACAGGGCCUCGGACCCGAAAGAUGGUGAACUAUACUUGGAUAGGGUGAAGCCAGAGGAAACUCUGGUGGAGGCUCGCAGCGGUUCUGACGUGCAAAUCGAUCGUCAAAUCUGAGUAUGGGGGGCGAAAGACUAAUCGAACCAU